AGUCGAACGCAAGGCUUCGGCCUUGAGUGGCGCACGGGUGAGUAGCGCGUGGGAACCUACCCUUCUGUGGGGGAUAACCGAGGGAAACUUCGGCUAAUACCGCAUACGCCGGGAAACCGGGAAAGAUUUAUCGCUGAAGGAUGGGCCCGCGUCGGAUUAGCUAGUUGGUGGGGUAACGGCCUACCAAGGCAGUGAUCCGUAGCUGGUCUGAGAGGAUGAUCAGCCACACUGGGACUGAGACACGGCCCAGACUCCUACGGGAGGCAGCAGUAGGGAAUAUUGGACAAUGGGCGAAAGCCUGAUCCAGCAAUGCCGCGUGAGUGAGGAAGGCCUUAGGGUUGUAAAGCUCUUUCGGCGGGGACGAUGAUGACGGUACCCGCAGAAGAAGCCCCGGCUAACUUCGUGCCAGCAGCCGCGGUAAUACGAAGGGGGCGAGCGUUGUUCGGAAUUACUGGGCGUAAAGGGCGCGUAGGCGGCCAUCUUUGUCAGGCGUGAAAGCCCUGGGCUCAACCUGGGAAUUGCGCUUGGGACGGGGUGGCUUGAGUUCGGGAGAGGAGAGUGGAAUUCCCAGUGUAGAGGUGAAAUUCGUAGAUAUUGGGAAGAACACCGGUGGCGAAGCGGCUCUCUGGACCGAUACUGACGCUGAGGCGCGAAAGCGUGGGGAGCAAACAGGAUUAGAUACCCUGGUAGUCCACGCUGUAAACGAUGUGUGCUAGACGUUGGGAAGCCUAGCUUUUCGGUGUCGCAGCUAACGCGUAAGCACACCGCCUGGGGAGUACGGCCGCAAGGUUAAACUCAAGGAAUUGACGGGGCCCGCACAAGCGGUGGACAUG
Molecule: ribosomal RNA, 833 nt
Filed under: uncultured Alphaproteobacteria bacterium
Lineage: Bacteria; Pseudomonadati; Pseudomonadota; Alphaproteobacteria
Description: bacterial SSU rRNA
Rfam family: Bacterial small subunit ribosomal RNA
Source: RNAcentral